Molecule: long non-coding RNA, 958 nt
Filed under: Sus scrofa (pig)
Lineage: Eukaryota; Metazoa; Chordata; Mammalia; Artiodactyla; Suidae
Source: RNAcentral
CUCAUUUUUCCCGGGCUUUCGGUCGGCGUUUUCCUUUUGUCGCGGGUUUGGGCGCGCAUCGAACUCUGAAGGGUCGGGAAGGCCUGUCGUUGGAAUGUGGUUGAGUUCCAGGGAGUGUACAGGCUGGAGGAUGGGACAAGACCUAUCUCUGUAUCGAUCAAGCACGGCGUUGGUGUUCCAGCUCAUCACCAAUCCUAAGGAAUUCAAGUGCCUCCCAGGAUGAAUACAGGUUGUCUUGAUGGUGAUACAUUCAUCUGUCUUAAGAUCCCUGCUGAUCUGCUCAUGGUCAAACUCAUGGAAAGAGUUGAGAGUGGGGCACCUUGUUCCUGCAUCCUCAAAGGAGCAUCUUGUUCCUCCAUUUAAGCUUCCAGAGUUAAAAGGUACCUGUACCAUUUAGCGGCUUGUUCACUCAAAGAUCCAUCUUGUCUGGAGCCUGAGGAUGAUUGGAGGUAAAUCUGUUUAUCUAUGGCUGCUAUGUAAAGUUUGCCAGUUUUUGUGUGGCACUUUGGAUAGUUGUGCAGGUAUUACUUAAUCCAAAGUCUGCCUUUGGCCAUUUGUGAACCACCUGAAACAGAUUUCUGCUCACAUGAUGAGUUUGAUACCGCCCCAGUCUGAUCACUAUGACUGAAAGGUAUUUUCUGAGCUGUGAGUUUGCCUUAGAGUGGGAAGUUAGUCUUUUUAUAAAAUGUCUGUUGAGACCUACACAGCCUGUUAGGGUGUCCCAUUCCUCUGGGAAUGGUUGACUUAGUUCCCAAUCUCUGUUUUGCAGGUGAAAGGUGUAAGCCAUACUCUGCUCAACUCCAGUCUGAAACUAAGGUUAAAAGAACACGUACUUAACACACGGGUAAGAAUCCAACUCUUGGAGGACAUCAGAAGUGGAAUUUUCUUAUACAACCUACCUAUUCAAAUUAGCAUAUAAUCUUUCUAGCCUUUCUAAAUAAAUAAAGGGAUUUUUUUG